This is a long non-coding RNA of Pseudopipra pipra, 1382 nucleotides long. RefSeq lists it as uncharacterized. The transcript is spliced from 2 exons. The record is from RefSeq and is a predicted model, not a curated record. Lineage: Eukaryota; Metazoa; Chordata; Aves; Passeriformes; Pipridae.
UGUCCAGAGGCAACCCGCUGACAAAGAGUGUCCUCACCUGGAAAAGAAGAAAGAAGGUUCCUGGGGAUACUCUUCAUCCCUAACUUGGCUUCCUGCAGCCAGAGGGACAAUGCCAGCCCAGAGGGAAGCUCCUGGGCAGCCAAAAGCCUUAAGCCGCAAUUGAGCGAUGCAGAAUUUUUGGGAGGGGUGUCCCCAUCCUUCAGGUGACCACGGAGGAAGCUGCUAAGGCACCAUGGAAAGGUAACGGAGACCUGUCCUCACCCCACAGAGUGCUCUCUGGGCUGAAAAAGCUUCCAGCAUCCCAGCACCUUCCUACCCCGGUCUGGCAAACAGGAUCUCUCCCGGCAUCCCCAGCGGAUCCAGGACUCUGCAGACAAUGCCUAUUGUCUCAUUUUAAUUGCAGCAGCUCAUUAAGGACUGGGAGAAGCAAAUCCCAGCUCUUCCUCCUGGAGGAAUGGCCGGCCCUGGUUUGGAGGGGGCUGGGUUUAAGCAGCUUGUCCCUGGUUUGUAGAAGUCACCUUUUAAGGGGUUUUAACCCUUUUUUGAUGGAUCUAAUGUUUGUGGUGGUGCAGCAUCCUCAAAGCUGGUGUGUUUGGCAGAAAUCCCGCUCCCACCAACUCCGAGGCGGGAUGUGGGGCUCCCCAGGGAUAGGCAAGCCCUGUGCUGGGAUGGUUUUGCUUUGCAACCAGCUCAUAACUGGUGAAGCAAUGUGGGGAACUGGGUCUGCUGCCAGUUCCCCCUCUCCUCAUCCACAAAAUCUCAUCUGAACACUUUGGGCUGGAGGAGGGGAAAACUUUGAUUUAUUUUAUUUUAUUUUUUUGGCCACGCACCCUGCCUGCCCCAUUCCCUGGGAAAGAGACAUGGGAAACUGCCAGAAACAGCCAGCCCAGGCCUAUUCUUCUGCUGACAUUUCUUCUUUCUCUUGCAGAUAAGCUAUCUCCCCCAUCUCCCAGCCUGGGAGCAGCAAACAUUCCUGCUUUGUGGAACAAAACCUCUGGCUGACCUGUAUCUGUUAAAUAACAAAAGGUACCAGCAUCCAGGCCGGAUGGGAUCAGCACAGGGGUGUCCUCACCCCUUCCUGAGCCAGGGCUGCAGGCAGGCACAGCCUGAUAGCCUGUCCUCUCUAGUGGAGCCACCCAAGGUGGGCUGGAAGCCCCCCCAAAGCACCUUGGGGGACCUCUGCCAGACUUCUGCUGUCUCCCAAGACCAGAGGGUGAUGGAGCGUCCCAAGGCAUUCAAUAUUGCUCUGUCUCCCCAUGGAGACAGUGCCCAAAUUUCUCCCAGCAGGGAGGCAGGAGGAGCUCCCCUUGUGCUCAUGAAAUUCAAUGUAAAGAAAACAAAUUUAUCCUUUCCUUGGGGAAAUAAAUAUUUCCUUUCAGACA